RNAcentral lists this ribosomal RNA (460 nucleotides) under uncultured bacterium. RNAcentral describes it as "partial 16S ribosomal RNA". It matches the Rfam family "Bacterial small subunit ribosomal RNA", at positions 338 to 795 of the family's 1533-position model. The record is from RNAcentral.
CCUACGGGAGGCAGCAGUGAGGAAUAUUGGUCAAUGGGCGCGAGCCUGAACCAGCCAAGUAGCGUGAAGGAUGACUGCCCUACGGGUUGUAAACUUCUUUUAUACAGGAAUAAAGUGAGGCACGCGUGCCUUUCUGUAUGUAUUUUAUGAAUAAGGAUCGGCUAACUCCGUGCCAGCAGCCGCGGUAAUACGGAGGAUCCGAGCGUUAUCCGGAUUUAUUGGGUUUAAAGGGAGCGUAGAUGGGUUGUUAAGUUAGUUGUGAAAGUUUGCGGCUCAACUGUAAAAUUGCAAUUGAUACUGGUAGCCUAGAGUACAGUUGAGGUAGGCGGAAUUCGUGGUGUAGCGGUGAAAUGCUUAGAGAUCACGAAGAACACCGAUUGCGAAGGCAGCCUACUAAGCUGCCACUGACAUUGAGGCUCGAAAGUGUGGGUAUCAAACAGGAUUAGAUACCCGAGUAGUC